UAUCCUGGUACUCAUGCUAAGCUGGAACCACACCAAUCCAUCCCGAACUUGGUGGUGAAAAAGCUUAGGGGAUCGAAAAACUCCAAGCAAAGCUUGUCGGAAAAUCGAUCCUAGCGCCAGGGUA
RNAcentral lists this ribosomal RNA (124 nucleotides) under Chloromonas radiata. The record is from RNAcentral. Lineage: Eukaryota; Viridiplantae; Chlorophyta; Chlorophyceae; Chlamydomonadales; Chlamydomonadaceae.